RNAcentral lists this ribosomal RNA (254 nucleotides) under uncultured bacterium. RNAcentral describes it as "partial 16S ribosomal RNA". It matches the Rfam family "Bacterial small subunit ribosomal RNA", at positions 524 to 776 of the family's 1533-position model. The record is from RNAcentral.
GACGUAGGGCGCGAGCGUUGUCCGGAUUUAUUGGGCGUAAAGAGCUCGUAGGCGGUGUGUCACGUCGGCCGUGAAAACCUGCAGCUUAACUGUGGGCGUGCGGUCGAUACGGGCAUCACUGGAGUUCGGCAGGGGAGACUGGAAUUCCUGGUGUAGCGGUGAAAUGCGCAGAUAUCAGGAGGAACACCGGUGGCGAAGGCGGGUCUCUGGGCCGAUACUGACGCUGAGGAGCGAAAGCGUGGGGAGCAAACGGG